Molecule: ribosomal RNA, 492 nt
Filed under: uncultured bacterium
Lineage: Bacteria
Description: partial 16S ribosomal RNA
Rfam family: Bacterial small subunit ribosomal RNA
Source: RNAcentral
AGUGAACGCUGGCGGUAUGCCUAACACAUGCAAGUCGAACGGCAGCACAGUAAGAGCUUGCUCUUACGGGUGGCGAGUGGCGGACGGGUGAGGAAUACAUCGGAAUCUACUUUUUCGUGGGGGAUAACGAAGGGAAACUUACGCUAAUACCGCAUACGACCUACGGGUGAAAGCAGGGGAUCUUCGCACCUUGCGCGAUUGAAUGAGCCGAUGUCGGAUUAGCUAGUUGGCGGGGUAAAGACCCACCAAGGCGACGAUCCGUAGCUGGUCUGAGAGGAUGAUCAGCCACACUGGAACUGAGACACGGUCCAGACUCCUACGGGAGGCAGCAGUGGGGAAUAUUGGACAAUGGGCGCAAGCCUGAUCCAGCCAUACCGCGUGGGUGAAGAAGGCCUUCGGGUUGUAAAGCCCUUUUGUUGGGAAAGAAAAGCAGCAGGUUAAUACCCCGCUGUUCUGACGGUACCCAAAGAAUAAGCACCGGCUAACUUCGUG